RNAcentral lists this ribosomal RNA (253 nucleotides) under uncultured bacterium. RNAcentral's name for it is "partial 16S ribosomal RNA". It matches the Rfam family "Bacterial small subunit ribosomal RNA", at positions 524 to 776 of the family's 1533-position model. The record is from RNAcentral.
UACAGAGGGUGCGAGCGUUGUUCGGAAUUAUUGGGCGUAAAGGGCGCGUAGGCGGUGCGGUAAGUCACCUGUGAAAUCUCCUGGCUCAACUGGGAGCUUGCAGGCGAAACUGCCGUGCUGGAGUGUGGGAGAGGUGCGUGGAAUUCCUGGUGUAGCGGUGAAAUGCGUAGAGAUCAGGAGGAACACCCGUGGCGAAGGCGGCCUUCUGGGUCCGCCCUGACGCUGAGGCGCGAAAGCGUGGGGAGCGAACGGG